UACGUAGGGGGCAAGCGUUGUCCGGAUUUAUUGGGCGUAAAGAGCGUGUAGGCGGCCAGACAGGUCCGUUGUGAAAACUGGAGGCUCAACCUCCAGACGUCGAUGGAAACCGUCUGGCUAGAGUCCGGAAGAGGAGAGUGGAGUUCCUGGUGUAGCGGUGAAAUGCGCAGAUAUCAGGAAGAACACCCGUGGCGAAAGCGGCUCUCUGGGACGGUACUGACGCUGAGACGCGAAAGCGUGGGGAGCGAACAGG
RNAcentral lists this ribosomal RNA (253 nucleotides) under uncultured bacterium. RNAcentral's name for it is "partial 16S ribosomal RNA". It matches the Rfam family "Bacterial small subunit ribosomal RNA", at positions 524 to 776 of the family's 1533-position model. The record is from RNAcentral.